Molecule: ribosomal RNA, 800 nt
Filed under: uncultured bacterium
Lineage: Bacteria
Description: bacterial SSU rRNA
Rfam family: Bacterial small subunit ribosomal RNA
Source: RNAcentral
AGAGUUUGAUCCUGGCUCAGAUUGAACGCUGGCGGCAGGCUUAACACAUGCAAGUCGAGCGUGAAAGGGCUUCGGCCUGAGUAAAGCGGCGGACGGGUGAGUAACGCGUAGGAAUCUACCUGGUAGUGGGGGAUAACGUUCCGAAAGGAACGCUAAUACCGCAUACGUUCUGAGGAAGAAAGCAGGGGACCGCAAGGCCUUGCGCUAUCAGAUGAGCCUGCGUCCGAUUAGCUAGUUGGUGGGGUAAAGGCCUACCAAGGCGACGAUCGGUAACUGGUCUGAGAGGAUGAUCAGUCACACUGGAACUGAGACACGGUCCAGACUCCUACGGGAGGCAGCAGUGGGGAAUAUUGGACAAUGGGGGCAACCCUGAUCCAGCCAUGCCGCGUGUGUGAAGAAGGCCUUCGGGUUGUAAAGCACUUUAAGCUGGGAGGAAGGCUCCAUGGCUAAUAUCCAUGGGGAUUGACGUUACCAGCAGAAUAAGCACCGGCAAACUUCGUGCCAGCAGCCGCGGUAAUACGAAGGGUGCGAGCGUUAAUCGGAAUUACUGGGCGUAAAGCGCGCGUAGGUGGUUUUGUAAGCGAAAUGUGAAAUCCCCGGGCUUAACCUGGGAACUGCAUGUCGAACUGCAAGGCUAGAGUAUAGUAGAGGAGUGUGGAAUUUCCUGUGUAGCGGUGAAAUGCGUAGAUAUAGGAAGGAACAUCAGUGGCGAAGGCGGCACUCUGGACUGAUACUGACACUGAGGCGCGAAAGCGUGGGUAGCGAACAGGAUUAGAUACCCUGGUAGUCCACGCCGUAAA